GAUGAACGCUGGCGGCGUGCCUAAUACAUGCAAGUCGAGCGAACAGACGAGGAGCUUGCUCCUCUGACGUUAGCGGCGGACGGGGGAGUAAAACGUGGAUAACCUACCUAUAAGACUGGGAUAACUUCGGGAAACCGGAGCUAAUACCGGAUAAUAUAUUGAACCGCAUGGUUCAAUAGUGAAAGACGGUUUUGCUGUCACUUAUAGAUGGAUCCGCGCCGCAUUAGCUAGUUGGUAAGGUAACGGCUUACCAAGGCAACGAUGCGUAGCCGACCUGAGAGGGUGAUCGGCCACACUGGAACUGAGACACGGUCCAGACUCCUACGGGAGGCAACAGUAGGGAAUCCUCCGCAAUGGGCGAAAGCCUGACGGAGCAACGCCGCGGGAGUGAUGAAGGUCUUCGGAUCGGAAAACCCUGUUAUUAGGGAAGAACAAAUGUGUAAGUAACUAUGCACGUCUUGACGGUACCUAAUCAGAAAGCCACGGCUAACUACGUG
RNAcentral lists this ribosomal RNA (497 nucleotides) under uncultured bacterium. RNAcentral's name for it is "partial 16S ribosomal RNA". It matches the Rfam family "Bacterial small subunit ribosomal RNA", at positions 28 to 507 of the family's 1533-position model. The record is from RNAcentral.